RNAcentral lists this ribosomal RNA (439 nucleotides) under uncultured bacterium. RNAcentral's name for it is "partial 16S ribosomal RNA". It matches the Rfam family "Bacterial small subunit ribosomal RNA", at positions 338 to 795 of the family's 1533-position model. The record is from RNAcentral.
CCUACGGGGGGCAGCAGUGGGGAAUAUUGCACAAUGGGGGAAACCCUGAUGCAGCGACGCCGCGUGAGUGAAGAAGUAUCUCGGUACGUAAAGCUCUAUCAGCAGGGAAGAAAAUGACGGUACCUGACUAAGAAGCCCCGGCUAACUACGUGCCAGCAGCCGCGGUAAUACGUAGGGGGCAAGCGUUCUCCGGAUUUAUUGGGUUUAAGGGGUGCGUAGGCGGAUUUAUAAGUCAGCGUUAAAAUGUCUGGGCUCAACCCGGGCCUGCCGUUGAAACUGGGGAGCUUGAGUGGGCGAGAAGUAUGCGGAAUGCGUGGGGUAGCGGUGAAAUGCGUAGAGAUCACGAAGAACUCCGAUGGCGAAGGCAGCAUACUGGCGCCCGACUGACGCUGAGGCACGAAAGCGUGGGGAUCGAACAGGAUUAGAUACCCUGGUAGUC